Molecule: non-coding RNA, 4775 nt
Organism: Heterocephalus glaber (naked mole-rat)
Lineage: Eukaryota; Metazoa; Chordata; Mammalia; Rodentia; Bathyergidae
Source: RefSeq, a predicted model, not a curated record
UUUUUUUUUUUUUUCCUCACCGAGCGUGAACUUGUUAGAUAAGACAGACGAGGCCACGAGAAAUGGAAACACAGAAAAAGCCCAAGAGCACAGCCUAUGAGGCUGACAGGCGGCGGCCCACGGUCUCGGAGGCACGGGCGAAGGCUGGUUCCGAGCGUGUCUGGUUGUAGCCUCCGCGCCGCCAGCCCGGCCACAGGCUCCCGUGGCUGCCCAGGCUGGGCUGUCUGCCUUUGGGCCCUGGCAUAAACUCCUCCAAAAGCGAGAGAAGGGCCCGCAACUAAGCUAAGAAUAUGCACACCCGCUCGCUCGCUCGGAACACAACACUGGGCCCCAAUCUUUUCCUCCAGGAAAUUCUAUGUCUGGACCAUAAAAUAAACGGUGUGUUGGAGAGGCUGGGUUUUAAGGAUGUCUGGAUUUACACAUGAAACAUUAUUUUCCUAAUUAAAAGUAAGUCUCUCUCCCUCUUUAUAUGCAUACACACGCUAUUUAUUGCACGCCCCUAUUUGCUUGAAAAACUGCUCAGAGCAUCUGUAGUGCACACUGCUCAUUCUUUGUCCCCUCGAACUUUUGCAGCUGAUGGUGUGGUUUGUGGAGAUCAAUUAGCACUGGAUUUUGCUCCAGGAUUGCUCCCCGGGGCGAACAAAUGAAGCCAACUCCUCUCCAGCGAGUUUUUUCCGCCCAUGAGUGUAUCCAAGCCAGGACUGCUGAAGCAGUUCGAAAUCCCCAGCCUUGGUUUCAUUUGAUUUUGUUGUUGCUGUUAUUGAUAAAUAUUGGGUCAUACACAAGCCACUUGUCAGAGCCUUUGGCUUCAUCUCGCAGCUGCAGCUCCUAACGAGGCAUUUGAGUCGUGUCCUAGAAACUGGAAGGAUUCGAGGGGAAAGCAAAGACACGCUCUCUGCCCCUUAAAUUUUGGAGAUGGUCCCUUAAGAUUCUAGUCCUGUCUGCUGUCACGUUUAUUUCUUAAUUUGUUCCAAUACGUGAACCCUGGGUAGAUAUGUGUAACCCCCUUAAAAAAGACUAAAAAGAUCUUUAAAAAAAGAAGAGGAGACUCUUGAUCCCAGUCCUCUAGGUUUAUGUGAAACCAAAGGAGCACAUAGAUAGACAGAUAAUUGUUGUAAUUGCAGGGGGUGAGGGUGAGGUUGUAGGUAGGGCGUUUGGGGGUUGUGUAAUCGGAGUAAUAUGUACAGUUUUUCUUUCGGCGGCGCUGUAUAUAUUCUUUCCCUUGAUACAUGUUGCACAUGAACUGAACUCAUGGUCUGCUUGUCUUAGCAUGUUUGAAGCCCCAGACAUCUAACAGUAUCAUUACAGGAAAGAGACAAAGCCCCAAAGACUCCAGGCUGCCUUGGGAGUUCAUCUCGGCGUUGAACUUUUCCGGCCAGUUCACCCGCACGUUCAGACUCCCUUGCUGCGCAGAGUGCAGGUCUUCCCCGGGCUGAAGCGGGGGUGUGGGGGAAGAAACAGCUGAUUUUCGACAUUUCACAGGGACUCUUUCUAUUUAUCAGUGUUACCGAAGUGUACGUUACUGGAAAAACAACAAAACAAGCAUAGAGCUGCAAUUUUCCAGAAAAUAGGAUCCCCAAAUAUAAAAAUAAAAAGUAGCAGAUAAGAUGUAUAAUUCAAUCAAAUUACACAAAAUUGCUUGAAAAUCCAGAACAGUAGCAAUCCAUUAUGCCUCUGUUUUAUUAGUGACAAGCACAAUUACUCUAAAAUAAAGAACACUGGUGAAUAUAUAAUUGGCUGUAAUCAUGUUAGUGUUUGAAUAAAAAUGACGGGAACAUUUAACACUUUGACAACAAAAUGUUCAGAAAUAACUUAUUUAUUCAAACAGUUUUUAUUUUCCUCCAAGUGAAGGAGAAACACAGUUUGCUUAGGAAAAUCAAUGACUUUUCCCUUCAAUAAAUAAAUAUCCAAAAGGGGAAAAAACAGCCCCACACCUCUAUAUUAUCGCUAUUAUUAUUUUUAACCAGCAAGAAGCUUAAUCCUGGGCUUGAAGUCAGCUUCUCCCAGCGGCGGUUCGGCACCAAAGUCUGCCCCCUAGAGGAGGAACUCGGAAGCUCAUCACGGCGCCAACCCCUUUUCCCGCGGUGACCUCGGGAAUUAAAGUUAAUAUUCCUUUGCAAAUUGCUCUCCAAACUGACUCCCCCACCUCACCCCCUCAUAUCCCCUUCCGCCCUACAACAGCGUCACAAUAUUUUCUUAGUAAUUGCUGUGCGCUGCUGACAAAAGCGCCGAGUCUCCGGUAGCGCGUUGCUCCGCCUGGAAAGCGCGAGGGCGCCCUGGGGAAGCCGGCCAGGGGAGUCCCGGUCCUGCGGACCAUCCCCGCUCAUCCGCUGCGCUCCAGGGCAGCCUGAAGUCGGUUCCCGGAGUGACGGCCGGCGACUCGGACACCGCGUUCCUGUGCUGCCUUUUGCGGGCUUCCUUAGAGAAAACAGUCCUGGUACGGCUGCCGGGCAGUCAGUACCUUAAGGGCUUUCCCUAGCGCACAUCUCCCCCAAGAAAAAGCCAUUAUCUAAUUAGAUCCCGGAGCCCAGUGGUUCCCUUCAUUGUCCCAGAUGGGUAUGCUGGAAAUACUGACUUAAAGAUAUUAAGGAGGAGGCCCUGCUUGCUCAAGCUCCCUGCCCCCAGGAGAGACCCAUCCGGAAGAAAUCCCUGAUUUUCACACUGGGUCCUGGAGUGCCUAGAAACUUCGGCGGGGCGCGUAGUCCCGGGACCCGAGGGACUAGGAACCUUUUCGCAUUGUAGUUCUGGUGGACCCCAUCGGUCCUUUAGGCAGAGGAAAGCCAACCUCACUUACUGAAACCAGCGCUGGGAGAUGGUGAAUGUGGCCACGGAAAGAGAAAUAACUGCUUCUGUGAGCUCCAGGCUCCCUUCAGACCCCUUCUCAGAUGGACCCAGAGCCCCGCCAGUUCCCAGGUCGUCCUCCCUGCCCCGCUUGAUCAGAAUUUUAUUUUAUUUGUUUAAAGGUAGAAGAACACAGUUCAAGUUGAAGUUCUGUUAGAAAGGCCAGGAAAGAGCAAGCGAAUUGAAGUCGCCGUGGAAAAGGCGAUGUGUGAAAUCAUCAGACUUAAAUUGGCUUUUAAUUCUUCUGUGUGGGUGUGUUUUGCCCCCCGAACCCCUCUCUCAGCUCUUCCCUUCUCUCCUCUUCUUUCCGUCCUUCCUCCUUUCUUUCCUUCCUUCCUUCGUUUUCUUCGACUUCUAAGUCCUCCUGCCCCGCAGCUUCCUAAGUGCAAGCAAAAGGAAAUAGUGGGUGUGCUGGAAGCCACCGUUGGUACCCAGAGUCUCUUGGACACCCUGUCCUGGCCCCUUGGUAGUCUCCUCGGUGGUGGAGUUGGAAUGAAACACCUGGGAGCUGUUUCUUCUUCCCCUCCCUCUCGAAGAGGACGUCUGGAUCGUGGACCGAGGAGCUAUUUCCCACGCCCAGCUUGUGAGAUCACUUCAGGAUUCCCUCCUGGCCACUUCUGUGAUGUUCUCAGCCCCAGCCUUCUGAAGAAAACUCCAUUGGGUUUACUUUUCUGUUGGAGGGAUGCUCUGGAGGAAGCACUAACUGGAACUUAGAUGGCAGCCUUUUGUCAGGCCUUCCUACUCCCUCAAAAGGGACAAUCUUUGAAAAAAAAUGAAUUGUACUCGAAACAUCAUUGUUAGUGAUCGUGGAAGCCCACAUUUUGGAGUUGGAGGGAAUCUAAGAUAUCAUGUAAUUCAGCACCUCUGGAGAAAUAUCUGAAUCAAAGCGUCCUGGAAACUGACUACAGAUAAGAAAACUGAAGCCAUGAUCUAAAUCACCUGAGCAAGGUCAUAUACCCGCUGAAGAAAAGGCAAGAAGACAGGAAACUGCUGGCUAAGAAAAAGAAUGUUCAAGAAAACUCACAGUGCAAGCUUUCACAGAAACCUUCACAGAGCUCACCAAUCUUUUUAAAAUUUGAAAAUAUGAAUCAUCAUGCCAAAACAUUUAAUAGGGAGAAAUGCAUAUGGUGCAUUAUCUGCUUACAAGCAAAUCUGUGAUGAGAAAAGAAACAAACCAAACAAGACACCAUAGGUACAUUUUUGAAAAUAGUGACACCUGUUGAAGAAGAGCUUCAGGCAAAUCCUUCCUCAAGAUUUCCAGAGGAAGGCGCUGUCAUUCCAGUAGGUGACAGCUCCAUGUGUGCUACUGCCACUGAAGACCUUCCAGUGGGACACAGCGAGGAUGGAUAAGACAGUGACACUGAUAAUCCUGACCCUCUGAAGGUCCAGCUAGGAGGUGUCUUUCUAUCUCAGUUUAUAACAAAACAAUUUAAAAAUAAACAAAAACUUUAAAAUAACAACAUAAACCAAAAAGUUUUGGAUAGCUAUUGAAUGUGUUUGCACUUUAGACUAAAUGUUCUUUUAAAAGCCAAGUUGUUAAAAAUGUUAAAAAGCUUAUAAGUAAAAAGAUUACAGUAAGCUAUGGUUAUUAAAAAAUUAAUUGAGCAUAGCCAUGUUACGAUGAUUGUGAAGUCUACAGUAAUGUGCAGUAAGACCCUCAGCCUUUGUGUUCACCCAAACCCUCUGCCUGGUUCAUCCAAAGCAACUGCCAGUCUUUCAAGCUCUGUUUAUAGUAAGUGCCCUAAAUAGGUGUUAUGUACCAUGUUUUUACUGUGCCUGUUGUAUGUUUAGAUACACAAAUACCAUUGCAUUACAAUUAACUACGCUAUUCAGUAGGGUAACAUGCCGUACAGUUUUAUAGCUUAGAAGACAUAGGCAAACCAUACAGUCUAGGCUUUGUCAUCUAGGUUUAUUAUAGGGGUCAUACAGUGAAA